CCAAUAGCGUAUAUUAAAGUUGUUGCAGUUAAAAAGCUCGUAGUUGAAUUUCGGGAUCAAUAUGUCGGUCGUGCCUCCGGUACGUACUGGCGUCAUUGGUUUCUCCCUUCUGAUGAACCACGAUGUCAUUAAUUUGGUGUCAUGGGGAAUCAGGACUGUUACUUUGAAAAAAUUAGAGUGUUUAAAGCAGGCUCACGCUUGAAUACAUUAGCAUGGAAUAAUGAAAUAGGACGUUUGAUUCUAUUUUGUUGGUUUCUAGGAUCGACGUAAUGAUUAAUAGGGAUAGUUGGGGGCAUUGGUAUUCAAUUGUCAGAGGUGAAAUUCUUGGAUUUAUUGAAGACUAACUACUGCGAAAGCAUUUGCCAAGGAUGUUUUCAUUAAUCAAGAACGAAAGUUAGGGGAUCGAAGACGAUCAGAUACCGUCGUAGUCUUAACCAUAAACUAUGCCGACUAGGGAUCGGAUGAUGUUAAUUUUUUAAUGACUCAUUCGGCGCCUUACG
This 500-nucleotide ribosomal RNA is filed under the name uncultured Glomeromycotina. RNAcentral's name for it is "partial small subunit ribosomal RNA". It matches the Rfam family "Eukaryotic small subunit ribosomal RNA", at positions 591 to 1092 of the family's 1831-position model. The record is from RNAcentral. Lineage: Eukaryota; Fungi; Glomeromycota.